This 253-nucleotide ribosomal RNA is filed under the name uncultured bacterium. Its description in RNAcentral is "partial 16S ribosomal RNA". It matches the Rfam family "Bacterial small subunit ribosomal RNA", at positions 524 to 776 of the family's 1533-position model. The record is from RNAcentral.
UACGUAGGUGGCAAGCGUUGUCCGGAAUUACUGGGUGUAAAGGGCGUGUAGGCGGGAAAGCAAGUCAGAUGUGAAAUCCCAUGGCUUAACUGUGGAGCUGCAUCUGAAACUGUUUUUCUUGAGUAUCGGAGAGGAAAGUGGAAUUCCAAGUGUAGCGGUGAAAUGCGUAGAGAUUUGGAGGAACACCAGUGGCGAAGGCGGCUUUCUGGACGAUAACUGACGAUGAGGCGCGAAAGCGUGGGGAGCAAACAGG